UACAUUUGCGGACAUAUUUGAAGUGGUGCUUUGCAAUUUAUUUACUGUAAACACAAGUAUUUUAGCCAAAUAUAAUUUAUGCAAUGGCAAACCAGAAUGAAACAACAGCAGAUAUCAGCUCCCGCUAAAGCAAAAGACGACUACAUGCAUAGGCUACUGCGCAGGUGUAGAACGCGCGGCCGUGUCUCCAGGAGGUUUGCUGGAACGCGAUCCUGAGGUGAAAUUUCUUUAAGAGGUUUUAAAAACGUUCUACACUGUGGAAUACGGCUGCGAGUGAUGUUAGCAGGUUCCGCAUGUUGGAUAAGAACAGCAUUUGUGAGACGACAUCAACUCAUCAUCCGAGUGGACAAGAACACCAACAGAGGAAGCCAAGCCGCAAAAACAAUGAAAAAUUGUCAUGACUUUUUAUUUUAAAUAAAAGUUAUGUGAUAAUAAACA
This is a long non-coding RNA of Paramisgurnus dabryanus, 438 nucleotides long. RefSeq lists it as uncharacterized. Lineage: Eukaryota; Metazoa; Chordata; Actinopteri; Cypriniformes; Cobitidae. The record is from RefSeq and is a predicted model, not a curated record.